CAAUCCAUAUCCACCUUGAUGUGCAAUGUCAUCUCACUGGGGUUACGUUUGUAAAAUUUCGUGAUCCGUUUGGGAUUAUAUCUACUCAGAACUUUAGUCAUUUUGUCUGAAACAUAUUAUGAAUAACUUAAUUCAAAAUACAACUUUCAACAACGGAUCUCUUGGCUCUCGCAUCGAUGAAGAACGCAGCGAAAUGCGAUACGUAAUGUGAAUUGCAGAAUUCAGUGAAUCAUCGAAUCUUUGAACGCAUAUUGCGCUCUCUGGUAUUCCGGAGAGCAUGCUUGUUUGAGUAUCAGUAAACACCUCAACUCCCUUUCUUCUUGAAAUGGAGCUGGACUUGAGUGAUCCCAACGCUUUAUUCAUAAAGUGGCGGGUUACUUGAAAUGCAGGUGCAGCUGGACUUUUCUCUGAGCUAUAAGCAUAUCUAUUUAGUCUGCCUCAAAAACAGAUUAUUACCUUUGCUGCAGCUAACAUAAAGGAGAUUAGUUCUUGUGCUGACUGAUGCAGGAUUCACAAAGACCGCUUCGCUGUCU
RNAcentral lists this ribosomal RNA (533 nucleotides) under Mortierella sp. UFMGCB 3754. Its description in RNAcentral is "eukaryotic LSU rRNA". The stretch from base 142 to 295 matches the Rfam family "5.8S ribosomal RNA". Lineage: Eukaryota; Fungi; Mortierellomycota; Mortierellomycetes; Mortierellales; Mortierellaceae. The record is from RNAcentral.